UCUUAAACCAAACAAUAGUAAAAUUUACUUUCAAUGA
This 37-nucleotide transfer RNA is filed under the name Amblyomma americanum (Lone Star tick). RNAcentral describes it as "partial tRNA-Lys". Lineage: Eukaryota; Metazoa; Arthropoda; Arachnida; Ixodida; Ixodidae. The record is from RNAcentral.